RNAcentral lists this long non-coding RNA (3316 nucleotides) under Equus caballus (horse). Its description in RNAcentral is "lncRNA (ENSECAG00000055916.1)". Lineage: Eukaryota; Metazoa; Chordata; Mammalia; Perissodactyla; Equidae. The record is from RNAcentral.
AGGGCUCUGGGAGACCAGGAGCGGUUCGGAGAGAGGCAGAGACGAGAGCCGAAGCCUGGCCAACUAAAAAGCGCGGAGAAGUUUAUGGGCGGAAGCGCCGACCUAUCCAGCUGUUGGGUGCCGGAAGAGGACGGACCUAAGAUGGCGGCGCCCACAGAUGCCGGGAAGAACCGCUCAUGUCGGGGAACGCAGCGGUGUGGGGGCGGGUGCGGAGCCGCCUCCGCGCCUUCCCCGAACGCCUGUCAGCCUGUGGGGCCGAGGCCAAGAAGACCCAGAAGGGAGGCCAUUAGGAAGGAGGAGGACUGUGCUUGACAUCCAUUUGCUGCCCAAGGGCACAGAGCCAGGCACCUUGUCCUGACGGCCCCAAGGGGCAAACAUCUAACGUUCUUAGGGCUAAAAGGACCUCAAUGUGUAUGCUGAGCCCAAGGCAAAGAGGAAGCGGUUUUCUGUAUUAGAAUAAGAUGCCGUGAACCAACAAUAAAGACGUGAAUCAACAAUAAAGAUGGCAGCAGAUCACGCGGGAUCCCUCUUUUGUGGUACGUAGUGUGCGUGGGCCUGGCCUCUCCCUGCAGAAGCUGACGGGGCGUGGGCCUUGGCAACAGGCUGCCUCCUGAUUCUCACUUUUUAAAGCAUUUUCACCAGUAUGUCAUCUCAAUCCAAUGGAGCAUCUAGAUGUAUCUCAGUUGACAGAAUGUACCAGAGACAACAGCGACACCGUGAGGCAGAGUUCCGCUCUGCGAGGAAUCCCAUACCCAGGCAUGCUCUUCUAGACUAAGGCAGUGAAGACAGGUGUGAGCCAAGAGGGGUUUUGGUUUAGGAAGCCAGUGAGGCUGGCCAAAGCUGCAGGCUCCCCUCCCCGCGUGGGCUGGCUGCUCACCAUUCCACAGCCUCCUUCGGAGUCAGUGCAAGCCCAUCCGGGCCACAGCUCCCAGCCUCCCUAGUGCCACACCCCCCUCCCCGCUUGUCCUGAGAAUAAGGUUAGGGGUGCAGCACCGCCCCUCCCAACACACAUGGGCACAGGCAGGCCCCGCGACAAUGGGCAGCGCCCUCAGUGCCCACUGCCCUGAACACCACCUGCCGGGUGCAUGGGGACUGUGCUCCAAAGAGCAUCCUCCCAGGGACCUGGAGGGCACACUGUCCUUGGGCCCACCCAGCCCCUGGCGUCCAGAGCCCCCUGCCAGGAGCCGAGGUCUGCACUCCCUUUUUCUCAAGUGAACACAACUCCACAAUUAGCCUGACUCCCCCCAUGCGGAGAGCAUCACAUCUCAGACGUGAGCGUCCGCCUCAGUGAAGAGGAGAAGCUGGCCGCUAUCAAGGGCUCUGUCCUGCUGGGCAGAGUCACAUCUCACGGGAACCACUGGAAUUAAGGUCCAGAAACUGGUGACACGACCCCCCUGCCCCUGCUGGGGUGACGGGAGGCCCCCAGAUAGCUCGAGGGCCUACGGGAGGAAGGGGUGAGCCAGGGAAGCGGGCUUCCUAGGAGCCCCCCGAGCACAGCUGUGCAGUCUCCACUGCCCAGCCGCGUAUUGCCACCCGGCCGGCGCACCCAGCCUUCCUGGGCAGACUUCUCUUCCCGACCCUCCUGCCCUCCACUCCGACCCUCGACAGCUUGUCGGCUAGAGCUUCCCGUAUCUUCGCUGGGCACACCCACUCCAGCCCUUCCAGAACUGUCCCCCCAGGUGCUGUCUCCUGCGUCCUUUCAAUCUCCAAUGCACUGGGGCAGAUGGAGUCCCCACGUCUCACAUCUCACACAGGGCCAGCCCGCGCUCCAUGUCAGACUCCCUUCCGACCUCCGCGGCCUUCAUCCCUGCUCCUCUGGCCUCCCCCAACUCACUUCAUCUUCAAGACUACAUUUAUAGAAGGGAGUUCAACAAAGUUGGCGUGGGGUGCAGCAAAGACAACUUCCGCCACCUCUACAGCCGGUCAUCGCGUAGAACUCAUCAUGUGCGGCUCCAUGCCGUUCGCCUGUCUUGGCCCUCAGGCAAGGGCCUCUGAAUUCACUGAGGACUCAGCUCCACUGGGGUUCCCUCCUCGCUCGGUGGAGGCCGACAUGGCCUUGGCCCAGCUCCUUUGCGCCCAGUUGGCUUGGUGGCCCCACUCUAGAAUGGGAGCCCUGCAGGCAGGGUUGCGUCCAGGGCAGACCUGGCCCGUCUGCUGCGAUCAGUAGCCAACACUGAGGGUGGCCCACUGGUGGCCCAGCUUGCUGCUCUAGCUGGGACUGCUGGCGACACCUACCAGUCAUGGGACCCAGAAAGAGGAGCAGUCUGUGGUCAGAAAGCAAAGCACUGUUGCUGGUCCCUCCUGCUCCCUGCAGUUCUGACAACAAAGUCCCAGAGGUCUGCCUGGAUUCUGGGCAGGAACAUUCUUGUUCCUUCCCUGAGGGGCUGCCCACUGGGAGGAGGAGUGGAGCUGAGAGCCAGGAGGAGGGAAAAAGAGCGCUAACUGGGCCGGUGUGGCUCCUAGGGUGUGGAGGCAGGGGGCGGGCAGGCAAUGGCAGAACCCCCUGCACUGCCAGUCAUGGGUGGUUUUCUGAGCGGGGCUGGGCCACUCUGAGCUACAGACGAAGUGAAAGGAGGGUGGUGUGACCUCCAGAAAAGGACAGGAAACCUGGUUCAAGCUAAGACAUUCAGGAGAAAGCUGGAAAUAAAAUCCCACUCCAAAAACUCAGUUUCAAUCUGAGGAAAACGUCCAGAAGGUGUUUUCCCUCCAGGGAUGGUUGGUUUGGAAUUGUUUCUAGUUAAGAACGAAAGACAGGCAGCACCCGAGACACUCCCCCAUCACAGAGCCUUCCUCUGUGUGAACAGUGCCCCAGCCCUGGCCUCCACACCCAGCCCUGGCAUUCGGGAGGAAUCAGCUUGGCCUCCAGAAGAUUCCACUCCUUUUACUACUCAUUUCUAGUCUUCAGGCUGCCCAAUGACAUGGAAAUUACAUUAAAAAAUACAAAUGACUUCAAAAGGUGCCAGGAAAAGUGUGAGCCGAGUUCUGAGGCAGGAGCCCCUGUACAUCCGUGGGCCUUCUGUGGGCAUGGACACGGCUGGCCAGCAGUUAGUGGGUGGCCCACACAGACCCCUCGAGGUAGGGUCUGGAGCAUGCCCCCUACCCCAGAAGGAGAGUGCCACAGGACCAUGCAGGCAAAGGCCCUGGGCUUGCAGGUAGGACAGCCCACCAGACCUGCCAGGCACACCUGCCCAGCACCCUCUGGGACUGUCAGCUUUUCUGCUCCUUGAAAACAAAACACAAGAUCAACACCACAACACCCUCCCAACAGAUGAGCUGGGUCCAGAGAGUACAGCCUGGAGCCCUGCAGACCUAGGGC